CUUCCCAAACUUGGCCUCCCUUCUCGGCUGUGGAGUAUCAACCGGUACACUUGAAAUUCCCAAACUAAGUUGAAAUAUUUGAGAAAUGCAGAGUGAACAAAAGAGAAAAGGAAUUUUAGAGAAAGUAAUAUAAUAGUUGCUCUGUAAUUGUAUGAAUGAAUUAACUAUUCAAUAUAGAGAGUUAACAAUUUAUACAACAACUAAUCACCUUGCUUAGCUCUCAUGGCACAUACUUAACAGACUAAAAACACUAACAAUCUCUAAACUGAUCUGCUGAGCUGGACCAUUAACCUCUGUUUAUGUCCCAGCCACUCAUCUUUCGGCUCUUAUCACUAUUUGCAAAAUCUAGAGUUGCAGAAACCCCAUUCUUAAUGAAUAUUAUUUUUUGCUGAUAAUUAAUUGAUGAUUAAUCUAUUCCAUUAUUAUUAUUUUAUCGUCAAAUACUUUGAAUAUUCAUUAGCAAAAGAUAUAGGGUUAAUUAUUUAAUGAAUACAAUUUUGAUGGUUGAUUGCAUUUCGUCAGUUAUAAAUAUGGUGAAUCCAUUAUUCAAUACUAGCUGAAUAAUCAUAAUGCUUUGGCCACUUAUCUUGAAUUCUGUUCAAAUUGAUGAAGUCGCAUGUUUCUUAAAUGGAAACCUGUGUUCUUUGAAUUUGGCUUUUACAAUUGAAGUCAAAUUGACUCUGGCUUCAGCGACAUUUGUAAAUCUUGUGUUCUGAAAAUUACUCUACACAUCGUGACCUGCAUUUCUAACUAUUUAUUGGUCUAUACUUUAGAGAUAAUGUACAUCAUUUUACUUUUUGUUAUGCAUGUGACUGUGAUCUUGAAUAUUUGAUAUUCUUUGAGAUUUUCAGCAUUCAGGUUUUGAAAAUUCUGAACUUUAUUCUUUUGUUUUUUUUCCUGUUUUAUCAAGAAUUGAGCCAUGGUCCUUUAAACAACAUUUGGGGCAAGCUGUUUUUAUCCCUGCUGGAUGCCCUUUUCAAGUCAGGAAUCUUCAGGUGUACAUCUUGCAGAAAUUACAAGGUAUGCUACAAUAUAUACUUCUUUGGUAGAUUUGAUUCAAAUUGAUAGAUUUCAGUAAGAAAGAAACUUUUAUCUUUUCUUUCAGUUAAGGACUCUUGGAACUUCAAAUUUGUAAAAGAUGUCAAUAUUAGAACAAUGGCAAUAGAACCGCCAAUCCAUAUGAUUGUAAACAGAUUUCAACAUAUAUCUAAAUACUAUUGCAGAUCGUAUGUA
Pyrus x bretschneideri (Chinese white pear) is the source of this 1233-nucleotide long non-coding RNA. RefSeq lists it as uncharacterized. The record is from RefSeq and is a predicted model, not a curated record. The transcript has 2 exons. NCBI's taxonomy places the organism in Eukaryota, Viridiplantae, Streptophyta, Magnoliopsida, Rosales, Rosaceae.